This 395-nucleotide ribosomal RNA is filed under the name uncultured bacterium. Its description in RNAcentral is "partial 16S ribosomal RNA". It matches the Rfam family "Bacterial small subunit ribosomal RNA", at positions 523 to 918 of the family's 1533-position model. The record is from RNAcentral.
AUACGUAGGGUGCAAGCGUUAAUCGGAACUACUGGGCGUAAAGCGUGCGCAGGCGGUUUUGUAAGACAGUGGUGAAAUCCCCGGGCUCAACCUGGGAACUGCCAUUGUGACUGCCAGGCUGGAGUGCGGCAGAGGGGGAUGGAAUUCCGCGUGUAGCAGUGAAAUGCGUAGAUAUGCGGAGGAACACCUAUGGCGAAGGCAAUCCCCUGGGCCUGCACUGACGCUCAUGCACGAAAGCGUGGGGAGCAACCAGGAUUAGAUACCCUGGUAGUCCACGCCCUAAACGAUGUCAACUUGUUGUUGGGGAUUUAUUUUCUCAGUAACGAAGCUAACGCGUGAAGUUGACCGCCUGGGGAGUACGGCCGCAAGGUUAAAACUCAAAUGAAUUGGCGGGG